CCUUUGCUGAGGAUACGGUUAACGGAGCGAAAGCGACGUUCAACCGCAAAACAAGCAGAGGGGGCUUAGUGGUGGGGUGACUGCGUACCUUUUGUAUAAUGGGUCAGCGACUUAUAUUCUGUAGCAAGGUUAACCGAAUAGGGGAGCCGGAGGGAAACCGAGUCUUAAUUGGGCGUUAAGUUGCAGGGUAUAGACCCGAAACCCGGUGAUCUAGCCAUGGGCAGGUUGAAGGUUGGGUAACACUAACUGGAGGACCGAACCGACUAAUGUUGAAAAAUUAGCGGAUGACCUGUGGCUGGGGGUGAAAGGCCAAUCAAACCGGGAGAUAGCUGGUUCUCCCCGAAAGCUAUUUAGGUAGCGCCUCGUGAAUUCAUCUCCGGGGGUAGAGCACUGUUUCGGCUAGGGGGCCAUCCCGGCUUACCAACCCGAUGCAAACUGCGAAUACCGGAGAAUGUUAUCACGGGAGACACACGGCGGGUGCUAACGUCCGUCGUGAAGAGGGAAACAACCCAGACCGCCAGCUAAGGUCCCAAAGUCAUGGUUAAGUGGGAAACGAUGUGGGAAGGCCCAGACAGCCAGGAUGUUGGCUUAGAAGCAGCCAUCAUUUAAAGAAAGCGUAAUAGCUCACUGGUCGAGUCGGCCUGCGCGGAAGAUGUAACGGGGCUAAACCAUGCACCGAAGCUGCGGCAGCGAACGUAUCACCCAAGACAACUUUACGGAGUUGACGAUUGACGGAGCGAAGCGACGUCAAAGCGUUCAUUAAAGUCGAGUUGGCUUAGGGAUACGUUCGUUGGGUAGGGGAGCGUUCUGUAAGCCUGUGAAGGUGUGUCGUGAGGCAUGCUGGAGGUAUCAGAAGUGCGAAUGCUGACAUAAGUAACGAUAAAGCGGGUGAAAAGCCCGCUCGCCGGAAGACCAAGGGUUCCUGUCCAACGUUAAUCGGGGCAGGGUGAGUCGACCCCUAAGGCGAGGCCGAAAGGCGUAGUCGAUGGGAAACGGGUUAAUAUUCCCGUACUUGGUGUUACUGCGAAGGGGGGACGGAGAAGGCUAUGUUGGCCGGGCGACGGUUGUCCCGGUUUAAGCGUGUAGGUGUGUGUUCCAGGUAAAUCCGGUUCACUUUAACACUGAGGCGUGACGACGAGGCACUACGGUGCUGAAGCAACAAAUGCCCUGCUUCCAGGAAAAGCCUCUAAGCAUCAGGUAACACGAAAUCGUACCCCAAACCGACACAGGUGGUCAGGUAGAGAAUACCAAGGCGCUUGAGAGAACUCGGGUGAAGGAACUAGGCAAAAUGGUGCCGUAACUUCGGGAGAAGGCACGCUGACACGUAGGUGAAGUGAUUUUCUCAUGGAGCUGAAGUCAGUCGAAGAUACCAGCUGGCUGCAACUGUUUAUUAAAAACACAGCACUGUGCAAACACGAAAGUGGACGUAUACGGUGUGACGCCUGCCCGGUGCCGGAAGGUUAAUUGAUGGGGUCAGCGUAAGCGAAGCUCCUGAUCGAAGCCCCGGUAAACGGCGGCCGUAACUAUAACGGUCCUAAGGUAGCGAAAUUCCUUGUCGGGUAAGUUCCGACCUGCACGAAUGGCGUAAUGAUGGCCAGGCUGUCUCCACCCGAGACUCAGUGAAAUUGAACUCGCUGUGAAGAUGCAGUGUACCCGCGGCAAGACGGAAAGACCCCGUGAACCUUUACUAUAGCUUGACACUGAACAUUGAGCCUUGAUGUGUAGGAUAGGUGGGAGGCUUUGAAGUGUGGACGCCAGUCUGCAUGGAGCCGACCUUGAAAUACCACCCUUUAAUGUUUGAUGUUCUAACGUGGACCCGUAAUCCGGGUUGCGGACAGUGUCUGGUGGGUAGUUUGACUGGGGCGGUCUCCUCCUAAAGAGUAACGGAGGAGCACGAAGGUUGGCUAAUCCUGGUCGGACAUCAGGAGGUUAGUGCAAUGGCAUAAGCCAGCUUGACUGCGAGCGUGACGGCGCGAGCAGGUGCGAAAGCAGGUCAUAGUGAUCCGGUGGUUCUGAAUGGAAGGGCCAUCGCUCAACGGAUAAAAGGUACUCCGGGGAUAACAGGCUGAUACCGCCCAAGAGUUCAUAUCGACGGCGGUGUUUGGCACCUCGAUGUCGGCUCAUCACAUCCUGGGGCUGAAGUAGGUCCCAAGGGUAUGGCUGUUCGCCAUUUAAAGUGGUACGCGAGCUGGGUUUAGAACGUCGUGAGACAGUUCGGUCCCUAUCUGCCGUGGGCGCUGGAGAACUGAGGGGGGCUGCUCCUAGUACGAGAGGACCGGAGUGGACGCAUCACUGGUGUUCGGGUUGUCAUGCCAAUGGCACUGCCCGGUAGCUAAAUGCGGAAGAGAUAAGUGCUGAAAGCAUCUAAGCACGAAACUUGCCCCGAGAUGAGUUCUCCCUGAGACUUAGAGUCUCCUGAAGGAACGUUGAAGACGACGACGUUGAUAGGCCGGGUGUGUAAGCGCAGCGAUGCGUUGAGCUAACCGGUACUAAUGAACCGUGAGGCUUAACCUUACA
Molecule: ribosomal RNA, 2517 nt
Filed under: Salmonella enterica
Lineage: Bacteria; Pseudomonadati; Pseudomonadota; Gammaproteobacteria; Enterobacterales; Enterobacteriaceae
Description: partial 23S ribosomal RNA
Rfam family: Bacterial large subunit ribosomal RNA
Source: RNAcentral